RNAcentral lists this ribosomal RNA (854 nucleotides) under uncultured bacterium. Its description in RNAcentral is "bacterial SSU rRNA". It matches the Rfam family "Bacterial small subunit ribosomal RNA", at positions 31 to 866 of the family's 1533-position model. The record is from RNAcentral.
UUUUCCUCCAGCGCGGGAAGACUGCAGUCGAGCGGGAUCUCCUUUGGUAGCAAUACCGAAGGAAGUCUAGCGGCGAACGGGUGCGUAACACGUGGACAAUCUGCCUUAAAGUGGGGGAUAGCUCGGCGAAAGCCGAAUUAAUACCGCAUGUGAUCAGCCAAGACAUCUUGGCGAAAUUAAAGUCGGGGCAACCUGACGCUUUUUGUGGAGUCCGCGGCCUAUCAGCUUGUUGGUGAGGUAACGGCUCACCAAGGCUUUGACGGGUAGCUGGUCUGAGAGGACGACCAGCCACACUGGAACUGAGACACGGUCCAGACACCUACGGGUGGCAGCAGUCGAGAAUUUUUCUCAAUGGGGGAAACCCUGAAGGAGCGACGCCGCGUGGAGGAUGAAGGUCUUCGGGUUGUAAACUCCUGUCAUUUGGGAACAAGUGCCAUACGUUAACUGCGUGUGGCUUGAUAGUACCAGAAGAGGAAGAGACGGCUAACUCUGUGCCAGCAGCCGCGGUAAUACAGAGGUCUCAAGCGUUGUUCGGAUUCAUUGGGCGUAAAGGGUGCGUAGGUGGCGCCGUAAGUCAGGUGUGAAAUCUCGGGGCUUAACUCCGAAACUGCAUUUGAUACUGCGGUGCUUGAGGACUGGAGAGGAGACUGGAAUUUACGGUGUAGCAGUGAAAUGCGUAGAGAUCGUAAGGAAGACCAGUGGCGAAGGCGGGUCUCUGGACAGUUCCUGACACUGAGGCACGAAGGCCAGGGGAGCAAACGGGAUUAGAUACCCCGGUAGUCCUGGCAGUAAACGGUGCACGUUUGGUGUGGGGGGAUUCGACCCCUUCUGCGCCGGAGCUAACGCGUUAAACG